RNAcentral lists this transfer RNA (67 nucleotides) under Marmota monax (woodchuck). RNAcentral's name for it is "tRNA.Ala". Lineage: Eukaryota; Metazoa; Chordata; Mammalia; Rodentia; Sciuridae. The record is from RNAcentral.
GGAUGUAGCUCAGGGGUAGAAUAUGUGCUUAGCAUGGAUAAGGCCCUGGGUUCCAUCCCCAGCACCA